Molecule: long non-coding RNA, 1106 nt
Organism: Oryza brachyantha (malo sina)
Lineage: Eukaryota; Viridiplantae; Streptophyta; Magnoliopsida; Poales; Poaceae
Exons: 3
Source: RefSeq, a predicted model, not a curated record
UGCACUGUGCCAUGGGACAUUUGGCCAUAUUGAAAAGUCAAAUGGAAGUUCACGGUCAGGAGGUGAUGGAAUUGACAUUGAGACCUAGAUACGGAGGUUCGGGCACCAAACAUUUCUUAGUAACAUGGAAGGGAAUUGAGUAAAACUCGAGGGCUUGGUUUAUUUAAUGAGUUCAGGAUGGAAGGAAUAAUACAUGAAGCCAACUCAUUGUUAGCAUGAUCGGACAUCUCAAGUUUACCUCUUCCUUAUGUGACAUUCUAUAUUCAGGGUUCACUUUUGGGUUAAAAGUCAACAGUGACGAAAAAAGUGAAUCUUGCGAGAAGAGGCUGCCUAAUCAAGGAAACUAUGUCUUCUGUGACCAGACCUCAGAAACCAUUGGCCAUAUCUUAGUAUUGCCCAGAAUCUGUCCCCAGGACACCCCCUCUACAUUGUGCAUUCCUGACUUAAUGAAAUUUGGAUGGCUUCCUUGGCCAUCCUGGCCAAAACAAAAAAAAAAAUUGCCCAGAAUCCCUGCAGGUGCAGUGGUUAAUUCGAAGUGCCAUCAACCUGAGUACUGACAGGCUGCUUUUCAAGCAGUCAGAACAAUUUUGAGGGUGGUGGCUCUCUGUGAGAGCGGUAGAUUCUGGAGCUUCUGCAGCUCGUCUUUGAUACUGGGUUCCUGGUGGCUGGGAUGAUUUGGAAGGAAAGAAAUAACAUGAUCUUCGACCAAGUCAACAAGCCCUGGUGCCAACUACCUAAGAAUAUGUAGAGGAAUUGGCAUUGUGGUGGUCGGCAGGAGCAACAAUCCAGGGGUUUAUCUAGUGUUGCUUCUUUUCCCUGGUUGCAAAAGAUUGUGAGAUUUUCAGUUUGGAUUAUCUUGCUCUUUUUUCUUGGUCAAUCUUCAUCAGUUGGUUCUUGUCGCUGAACUCGAGUUCCUUAAUGCACAUAUUUUGCAUGUUCCAUGAAAAAAAAAAAAUUAAUCUGCAGUUCGAAGAUUCAUCAUCUCUGAUUCUCAGCCUACAUAGUAGUGAUAUGCCAACUUUGAUAUGUUACUUAAAAUUAUGUCAAUUAUAUCUGAUUUUUUUCCAUAAACCUCAAGCAACAAUACUCAUAUAUCGUUAAUUAAU